AUGAAUGAAACUGAACCUGGGGUUUCUCUUUCGAUUGCUACAUGUGUGACUGCAGGAGAUCAACUUCCUUCUCAACCGAUGGUUCCUUCCAUUAAUUUAUUUGUUUCUUCGAUUUGGAUGCAACAUGUUCCCUUCAUGAACGAGGACAUGGGCAUGUACCUCGACGGUGAGCUCAUCCAUCACUACCACCUCGACUCUGUGCGCAAGGUGUUGUGUGUCCUAGAAGAUGGAAGAGGAAGAAAACUUAUUUUUGUUGAACUAAAUUUUCUGUAUUCUGUUUUGUUGUACGUAUCAUUUGAUAGUUUUGUAUAG
RNAcentral lists this ribosomal RNA (312 nucleotides) under Triticum aestivum (bread wheat). RNAcentral's name for it is "partial small subunit ribosomal RNA". The record is from RNAcentral. Lineage: Eukaryota; Viridiplantae; Streptophyta; Magnoliopsida; Poales; Poaceae.